RNA transcript from Magnolia sinica, 768 nucleotides. RefSeq lists it as uncharacterized. The record is from RefSeq and is a predicted model, not a curated record. The transcript has 3 exons. Lineage: Eukaryota; Viridiplantae; Streptophyta; Magnoliopsida; Magnoliales; Magnoliaceae.
CUGGACCAAUUUCUGUCCAGCGGAGGCAGGAUACAAUCCCCUUCUGUAAGAAAUGCGGUGCCUGAUGCAAGAAAAAACUCGGCAUUCCUCGGUGCGGAGAGCAUGGAAACUGCUGUUUCAACGCCAGUGAGUCCGCCGCCGGCACUUGGGCCUCCCAGAGAUCUCAUAACCCGCAUAUUUUCACAGCUCGACUGCAAAGAUCUCCUCCAUUGCUCUCUCGUCUGCAAGCAGUGGUACAGAGACUCUGCUGAGCUGAGGGAGGGUUGGAAGAAGGAAUAUUUAGAAGCAUGUAACCUGUUUGGGCUGUGCAUUAAAAGGGAAACCCAUCCACCAUCGUCCACAUGUUCCAUAAGAGGCGCGCAUAGUUGGUGUCCAUGAUGUUCAGAAUUCUCAUUUAUCAAGUGCUAAGACUCAACUCAAGAGACUCUCAAGUCUUAACAACUCAAGACUCAAGAGUCAAGGGUCAAGUCUCAACUCUCAAGUGGCAAUCACACACUCAAGUCCCAACAAAGUGAACAAAUUUUUCUAUUUUGUUUCAUACUUUUCAUUGUAAUUUGUUGACUUGUAGUUUCCAGUUUCUAGUUUCUACUUUGUACUUUGUAGUUUCUAGUUUUUAGAUUUUAGACUUCUAGUUCUACUUUAUUUCAACUUUCUAGUUUAUUUCAAGUUUGAAGUUUCUAGUUUCUUGUAAUCUUGUUUAUUUUUAGUUUGUAGUUUCUAGGAUUCAAGAAAGAUUUAAGAAGUGCGAUCAUUUACAACUUUCAAGAA